UGAUUGAGUCCCCUUCAAACCUGUGUCCAACCUUUAUCCCAAAACAGGAUGUUGUGCAGAGGCCAUGAAAACACUGAUCCAAAUAAAAAGCUUACAGCACCUAGUAUUCCCAUUCAGUCUCCCAACCGAGUACUAACCAGGCCCAACUCUGCUUUGCUUCCGAGGUCAGAUGAGAUCAGGCUUUUUCAGAGUGGUAUGGCCGUAAGCGAAAGCUGACCCCAAAUGGGGCCUAUUUUAAAUAGUGUAAUCAAAAGACUGACUGACUGAUUGAUUGAUUGAUUGGGUCCCCUUCAAACCUGUGUCCAACCUUUAUCCCAAAACAGGAUGUUGUGCAGAGGCCAUGAAAACACUGAUCCAAAUAAAAAGCUUACAGCACCUAGUAUUCCCAUUCAGUCUCAUAACCAAGUACUAACCAGGCCCAACUCUGCUUUGCUUCCGAGGUCAGAUGAGAUCAGGCUUUGUCAGAGUGGUAUGGCCGUAAGCGAAAGCUGACCCCAAAUGGGGCCUAUUUAAAUAGUGUAAUCAAAAGACUGACUGAGUGACUGACUGAUUGAUUGAUUGGGUCCCCUUCAAACCUGUGUCCAACCUUUAUCCCAAAACAGGAUGUUGUGCAGAGGCCAUGAAAACACUGAUCCAAAUAAAAAGCUUACAGCACCUAGUAUUCCCAUUCAGUCUCCCAACCAAGUACUAACCAGGCCCAACUCUGCUUUGCUUCCGAGGUCAGAUGAGAUCAGGCUUUUUCAGAGUGGUAUGGCCGUAAGCGAAAGCUGACCCCAAAUGGGGCCUAUUUAAAUAGUGUAAUCAAAAGACUGACUGACUGACUGACUGACUGACUGACUGACUGAUUGAUUGAUUGAUUGGGUCCCUUCAAACCUGUGUCCAACCUUUAUCCCAAAACAGGAUGUUGUGCAGAGGCCAUGAAAACACUGAUCCAAAUAAAAAGCUUACAGCACCUAGUAUUCCCAUUCAGUCUCCCAACCAAGUACUAACCAGGCCCAACUCUGCUUUGCUUCCGAGGUCAGAUGAGAUCAGGCUUUUUCAGAGUGGUAUGGCCGUAAGCGAAAGCUGACCCCAAAUGGGG
Molecule: long non-coding RNA, 1081 nt
Organism: Ictalurus punctatus (channel catfish)
Lineage: Eukaryota; Metazoa; Chordata; Actinopteri; Siluriformes; Ictaluridae
Source: Ensembl